UUUGCUUCAGUUCAAGUCCUCCUUCACUAUAGAUACUCCUUGUGUUAAAUCUCCUAUGAAAACAGCAACAUGGAAAAAUGGGACUGAUUGCUGCUCAUGGCAUGGUGUCACGUGUGACACCGUAUCUGGUCACGUCAUUGGCCUUAACCUUGGCUGUGAAGGCUUUCAAGGUAUACUCCAUCCUAAUAGUACCCUUUUCCAUCUUGCUCACCUUCAAAUGCUCAACCUUUCGAACAAUUAUUUCUCUAACGAUUUCUCUGGCUCCCAUUUUCAUUCUAAGUUUGGCGGGUUUAUGAGUCUUACACAUCUCGACUUGUCUUCUUGUUUCUUUCAAGAUGAAAUUCCUUCUCAAAUCUCGGACCUUUCCAAAUUACAAUCACUUCAUCUUUCUGGGAAUGAUAAGUUAGUUUGGAAAGAGACUACCUUGAAGAGACUUGUGCAAAACGCAACAAGUUUAAGGGAGCUGUUUUUGGAUUAUACAGACAUGUCUUUGAUAAGACCAAACUCCAUAAACUUGCUCUUCAAUCGAUCUUUCUCUCUGGUUACUCUUAAUCUUAGAGAGACAAUCUUAAGUGGAAAAUUGAAAAAGAGCAUUCUUUGUUUACCAAGUAUUCAAGAGCUAGAUAUGUCAUAUAAUGACCACCUUGAAGGCCAACUUCCAGAAUUGAGCUGUAGUACUUCUCUCAUUACUUUGGAUCUCUCAGGUUGUGGAUUCCAAGGGUCAAUUCCUCUGUCUUUUUCUAACCUUACACGUCUUGCCUCCCUACGUCUGUCAGGGAACCACCUAAACGGUUCAAUUCCAUCCACAAUUUUAACCUUUUCACAUCUUACCUUUCUGUAUCUCGAUGACAAUGUACUCAAUGGUCAAAUCCCGGAUUCUUUUCAUCUGUCAAACAAAUUUCAAAUAAUAGAUUUGAGUGGUAACAAGAUUGGAGGUGAACUACCAACAUCACUUUCAAACCUUCGACAUCUCAUUAACUUGGAUCUUUCAUACAAUUCAUUAAGCGGUCAAAUUCCAGAUGUAUUUGGCGGGAUGACCAAACUGCAAGAACUCCGUCUAUAUUCAAACAAUUUAGUAGGACAAAUUCCACUUUCCUUAUUUAAGUUGACUCAACUUGUUAGAUUCGAUUGUUCAUAUAAUAAAUUAAGAGGUCCAUUGCCAAAUAAAAUUACAGGUUUUCAACAGCUAGUUCGUUUUCGUUUAAAUGACAACCGUCUAAACGGAACAAUUCCUUCCUCUUUGUUAUCUUUGCCUCGUUUGCUAAAUUUAUAUCUAUCAAACAAUCAACUUACAGGGCAUAUCAGUGCAAUCUCGUCCUAUUCGUUAGAGGCUCUAAAUCUAGGCGGUAACAAGCUACAAGGCAAUAUUCCAGAAUCAAUUUUCAACCUUGUAAAUUUAGCUGUAUUAGAUCUAUCAUCAAACAACUUGAGUGGUGUUGUCAAUUUUCAACACUUUGGCAAACUUCAAAAUUUGUAUUCUUUGUCCCUUUCACAGAAUACACAAUUAUCACUAACCUUUGAAUCCAAUGUCAGUUACAAUUUUUCUCAUCUAAGGGAAUUGGAUUUGUCUUCUAUCAACUUGACAAACUUUCCCAUAUUAUCAGAAAAAUUCCUAAGUUUGGAUUAUUUUGAUUUGUCCAAUAACAAUCUUAAUGGAAGGGUGCCAAAUUGGUUGUUUGAAACAGCAGAAUCUUUGAACCUCUCUCAAAAUUGCUUCACUUCAAUAGACCAAAUCUCAAGGAAUGUUGAUCAGCUUGGUAGUCUUGAUCUUAGUUCUAACUUACUGGAAGGUGAUAUCUCUUUGUCGAUUUGCAGUAUGAAAUCACUUCGAUUUCUCAACUUGGCGCACAACAAAUUGACCGGUAUCAUUCCACAAUAUCUUGCUAAUUUAUCAUCCCUACAAGUCUUGGAUCUACAAAUGAAUAGAUUUUAUGGCGCUUUGCCAAGUAACUUCUCAAAGUACAGUGACCUUCGGAGUCUGAAUCUCAAUGGCAACCAUAUAGAAGGUCAUUUGCCUAAAUCUUUGUCCCACUGUAAAACGCUGGAGUUUCUAAACCUCGGCAGCAACAAAAUAGAAGACAAAUUUCCUGACUGGAUUCAAACUUUGCAAGAUUUGAAAGUGCUAGUUUUACGAGAUAAUAAGUUGCAUGGUCACAUUGCCAAUUUAAAGAUCAAGAAUCCAUUUCCCAGUUUAGUUAUUUUUGAUAUCUCGGGAAAUAACUUUAGUGGUCCGCUACCACCGAAAGACUAUUUCAAAAAGUAUGAAGCCAUGAAGGCUGUUACUCAAGUGGGAGAGAAUACCAGUUUGCUAUAUGUACAAGAUUCAGCAGGGUCCUAUGAUUCUGUGACUGUGGCAAACAAAGGGAUCAAUAUGACAUUGGUAAAAAUUCCAAUAAACUUUGUAAGUAUUGAUUUCUCAAGAAACAAGUUUAAUGGAGGAAUUCCAAAUGAUAUAGGAGAACUUCACGCACUCAAAGGGCUUAACCUUUCACAUAACAGACUCACUGGUCCUAUUCCUCAAUCCAUACAAAACUUGACAAACUUGGAAUCGUUGGAUCUCUCGUCAAAUAUGCUCACUGGUAUGAUUCCUGCAGAAUUAACCAAUUUGAACAGUCUUGAAGUCUUGGAUCUUUCCAAUAACCAUCUUGUGGGAGAAAUACCUCAAGGAAAGCAAUUCAAUACAUUUACAAAUGAUUCUUAUAAAGGGAACUUGGGGUUAUGUGGAUUACCCUUGUCAAAGAAAUGUGGACCGGAACAACAUUCUCCACCUUCAGCCAACAACUUUUGGAGUGAAGAGAAAUUUGGCUUUGGAUGGAAACCAGUGGCAAUUGGUUAUGGAUGUGGAUUUGUGUUUGGAAUAGGCCUUGGAUAUUAUAUGUUUUUAAUUGGAAAGCCUAGAUGGUUUGUGAUGAUAUUUGGUGGUCAUCCUAAGAGAAGAGUGAAUAGGAGAACAUAAGUGAGGAGAAACAAUGGUCCAACCAUGAAUCAGAUGGUGCAAAUGUCAUAGUUUUAUUAUUCUGGUUAUUUUCUCUAUUGUGUGUGUUAGUUUUUACUCUGUUUAAAAUAAGUUUUGGUGUGAGUGUAACAAUCUAGUCUUUUUUAUUUGAUCUAGCUAGUUUGAUUUUUACUUAACUUAUAUGUGUAUGCAUCAACAUGUGUUAUAUAAUAAAAUUCCAAGUUUAUUUUUAUGUUUGCAUCUAGCUACUGUCUGAAUGUCUGUGAGCCUAUUGUUCUUUUGGUGGAUGCUCACCAGAUACAAACACGCGCACGCGCGCACAUUACUACACUACAUAACAUUGUUUAUAACUCAGAUUUGAAGAAGUUUUUGAGCCAGAAAGUGUGGUAAGAACUCCUGGAUUACCCGCAGUCACCUCAGAGUCGUAAAAUGCAAUGUUGGAUCACUGAAACUGGUUUCCUAUUUUGCCAUGCAUUUUUGUUUCCUGGCUAAUCCGUAGCAGUAAUAAGAUGAUAUUUUGACACUGUUGUGCUCUUUAUCAAUAAUUAAUUAUAUAUUUGAUGUCAAGAAUUCUAACAUAAUUUUUGAGUAAUAUGUAUGUGGUUCAGAAUGGCAAUGUAUUUUGUUUACCCGACACCACAAGAUUGGUUGAUUGUAUUCUAAGCAUCAUGGUCGAUUAAUUCAUAUUUUUAUAACCUUUUUUUCUUUGCCUUUUUAUUUUGCUUCUUUUCAUCUAAUCUUAUUAGUACAAAAUUGAGUUUUGCAAGUACACAAACAGAAAGACUUUGUUAAUUAAUCUUCUCUUCUUUUGGUGGUUUAAAUCUAAAUUUGUUGUCUUUAGUAUCCGUUGCGAAGAAGAUUUCUUUCUUAGACUUGGCUGAGUUUUGAUGAUAACAAACUCACAUCACAAAAGAAGAAAACUAUGGAGGCACAAGAUGAAGAUUAAGAAUGAAGAUUAGUGCAUAAACUUCUGGGUUAUACUCUUUGUAAGUAUGGCACUUUAUCUUUUGAUUUAUCAUUCUUAACUUAUGGAAUAAUUUAGAAUGCUCAGAAAAUAAUUACAAACAUUUUUUCUAAGUCCGCAUAUGAAGCAAUGCCUAAUAUCUCUUGAAAAUAAAUCACACACUUACAAUGGUAUUUAUUUAAAAGUGAUUUUGCAUGAAAAGCCAUUAUUAACAAUGAAAACUGCAUAACUGUUUUCUACAUUCAAAAAUAUAUUUUUCAUGUUAUCAUACUCAAUUAUGAUUUGUAAAUGUGUGCACAUCAUGGGGCAACACAAUUUUCUUUCUCAAGUACAAAUCAAUUUUAACAUAGUAAAUUUGAUUUCAAUGUGCUAAUUGCAUCAAGUGUCAAAACGGCUAUUUUUUUUUCCAUUGAAGGAUUAACGGCUAAUUUUCUUUUAAAGCACGUCAUUGCCAUAUUUGUUUAAAUACAUAUGAUACUCAUUUUUAAGAAUAGGUUUCUUUUCAAAUAUGUUUCUAUUCAUUUGGUAAUUCUUUUUUGAAACUUUUUAGCCUACACUUUAACUUUUAUUAAAAAGUUUUCUGAGCACUAAGUCCAUUUGUUAGAGUGAUACUGAUAAAGAUAUACACCCAUAUAUUUGCUAUUCUUCAACUACUUUGUUAUAAAGUUUCUUGCCAUUGUUGGUGAGAAUUAUUGUUUAAGAUAGUGGGGGUGUUGUCUUGUGAUUAUUGUAAAAGGUUCUUUGAUUCGGGAAAAUUCAAAGUCCACCAAACAUGUUUGGUGUUUGUGUUGUAAUCAAGAGAGAGGGUUUUUUUCUUGUGUUUAUGUUAGAAAGAUUGUUAGGGGGGUCUUGAGGUGAGAUUGCUUGCAACAAAGAUUCUAACAUAGUGAAUUUCUUCGCGGGGUGUGAAAGGAGUGGACUGACCCUUAGGUUUAGAGGGGAACCAGUGCAUUUUCUUCUACCCUUACUUUUUAUUUUUCCGCAUUCAUAUUAAGUUUCCGGAAAAAUUAUCAAGAACGCUAAACUUGCAAAAAUUAACCAAUAUUCCUAGGUUACAAACUGAACUUACAUCCGUUUCAUAAUUGAUGCCAAAACCCUUUCUUAUGUUUAGGAAUUGACUAACGUUUUUAUGUUUUGUUGAACUUUUGGCUUUCUUCUCAGACACGUCUUGUGCUGGGAAAAUAGUCUGCUGGUAGUAAUAUUUCUCAUUUUGUUGUUUUUCCCGUAUUCGUCUCAUAAUUGGUGUCAAAACCCUUUCUUAUGUUUGGGAAUUGGUUAAUGUUUUUAUGUUUUGUUGCACUUUUGCUGUAACUUUUGUCUUUCUUCUCAGACACGUCUUGUGCUGGGAAGAUAGUUUGUUGGUAGUAAUAUAUCUCAUUAUGUCCUCUUAAAAAAGCAUCAUUGUUCAGUUAUACGAAUCAUAUAUUGACUCAAUAUGCGAUCCUCUAAGACCCAUGUAUUUAUUUAUUAUUUAUUAGACUGGAGUAAGAGUCAACUUUUCGUCAAUAGAUUGUUACACCCUUCACCUAACAUUUCAUUUGUUGUGGGGUUUCGUCGCCUAAACCUUAAUCGCCUAACAUGCUAACUAUUUUUACGCGCAAAGAAAUAUUUUUGAGCAUGCCUAAAAAAAAAAAUUUGACCAAAAUUUUUAAUUUUUAUAAAAUCUUUUAUUUAUUACAAAUAUAAAAAGUUUCAAAAAAUAAAGGGUUAAUUGUUUAAAUUGAAUAUAUAAUAUACGCAAAGUCUAAAAAAUAACCAUGCAUUUUAAGAUUUUACUUAUUUUUUACUUCUUAUGUUUCUCUCUAGAAAUAAAUUCUAGAACAGUGAUCUAGAGGUGGAAUUUUUUCAUAAUUUUUUGUAGGCAUGUUUAUGAUGUUAAAAUAUGAUUUUUCAUGUAAAAUUAAAAAUUUCUGAGUAGAGACGAAUUAAUUAUGAAUUUUCAUAGUGAAAAAACUUAAAAAAAAAAACAACGGAACCUAAAAAUCGAAUUAUGAGUUGAUUUUUUUUUUACACAAAAAUAAAAUAUAUAGAGAGGAUUUGCAAAAACCUGCAAAAUUUAAAUUUUGAAAUUCAGCAAAAUCAUAUGCAAAAUCGAAUUUGGAUUUUUCAACAAAGACAUGUAAAAUUGCAAUUUUUUAUUUUAUUUAACAAAUUCAAAUUAAGGUGGAACGAAAAUGCAAUUAAUCAUGUAAACAAAUUAAUAAAAAGAACACAUAGAAAAAAUAAUAAUAAAAGAGAUCUGUUAAAGGAAAGAUAAUAAUUAAUAAAGAACGGUUAUCAAUCAUAAUCAUUCCUAUAGAUCUAUAAAUAUAGAAUGCAUUUGAAACUUAUAAAACAUGAAAUGCUCCUCUUGUUUCUUUGUCAGAUGUGGGACUAUCUUCAUGGUUUUAAGUUUAAAAGGAAUUAAUUUCACCAAAUCAGACGUGUUCAUCAGUAGAAACAUCAAUUUUGCAGCUCGGGAAGAUCUUUCCAGAAUUCUAGGAGUCCGUCAUGUGUUAGGUACGGGUACAUAUUUGGGACUACCUAUAUGAUUGGUAGAAGUAAAAAAACAAUCUUCUCUUACAUCAAGGGCCGUAUUUGAAAGAAGAUAAAUUCAUGGAGAUGCCGCUCAGUAACAAAAGCAAGGAAGAAGGUGAUGAUUAAGUUCGUUUUACAAGCCACUUUAUCUUAUAUUAUGAGCACUUACAUCAUUCUGACCACUAUUUUUAUAAAUGAUAUUGAAAGAAUGCUAAAUUCAUUUUGGUGGGGAGGUGGUUCUAAUAACAAAGGGAUUCGUUGGAUGAUGUGGGAUAGAUUAUCAUGUCCUAAAUGGCAAAAUCAGAAGGUGGUAUGAUCUUUUUUGAAAUUCCAAGCUUUCAACAUGUUUAUGGUGGCAACGUAAGGGUGGCGUAUCUUGCAGAAACUGGACUCUUUGGUGGCAAAAAUUCUCAAAUCAAUAUACUUUCUCCACACAUAUUUUCUUGAAGCUGACAUUAGUACUAUGACAUAUCCAGGGAAGAAAGACCAAGGGAAGGUUUGAUUAAGUAUAACGUUAAUGCGACCUUCAUUGGAACUUUUUCUUGCUCAAACAAACUGGAAAUCUGUGAGAUGUCAACAAUCAAAGGGGAAGCAAAAACGCUUCUUGAAGCAAUUCAAAUGGCCAUCAACAAAGGGCUCGAGAGAGUAGUGUUUGAACGCGACUCACAAGUAGUACUAAACUCUAUUAAUUCUAGUUCACAAGGUGAUUCAAUGUUUAGUUCAAUUAUCUAUAGUAUUAUUAAUAGUCUGUCUUUGCAUUCUAACUUUGAGGUGAAGUUUGUUAGACAACAAACAAAGAUGAUUGCUCUACCUUGACAAUGGCGGCCCUUUUUUAGACUAAUUGCGAGUUGCCGUAUUGUUGAGAUUAUGUCUUUUCAAUUAAUGAUACAAGUUAAGUUUGCUUUGGUAAAAAAGUAAAAAAUACUUUAGCUUGCUAACUUCACCGACUAAAAAAUGAGUAUGAAUAAAUUAGCAAGUCCCAAUAAAACAUGCAUGGAAUAGGGAAAAAUCAGUUCUACUUAACAUUCAAUUAUAAGAUAUUUUAUUUAUUUUUUAAAUAAAGAAUGUUACCUCUUUUAUAUAAGAAAAUGACAGUAAGUUAUCUUUUUUUUUCAUUAUUUGGUUUUUAGUUUGUACAAGUCUGUAUAUAACUGACAAAAUGAUAUCACUGUAUAUAUAAAAUUAGAAAAAUGUUUUUAUGAAUAUUAAUUUUGUUAUGGUUUUUUAUUCUUUUAAAAUGAUAAAAAAAUUAAUAUAGAGUGAACAAUUAUAGGGGCUUCUGUUAGGUACCUAAAAGUAAACAAUCUCUGCAAAGUCAAGGCAGAAGUAUUCUAUGUCCCAAACAAAGAAAGUUCAAUGCAGAUUAUUCUCACUUUUCACAAAGUCCUAACCGUGUUUUCCAACACUUGCUUAAGUUGACUAUGACCUUAUAGAGUCAAUCCAAACAACUUAUAUUGGUUUGGUUUUUCAUUCUUUAGCUAUACUAACUACUUUCCACAAAAUUAUCCAUGGAGAAGUGCUUGCUUCUGUCUUUAAUUCUUUUGUUCUUCCAUUUUCCAUCAUUCUCUUCUUCAUCUUCUUUCAACUCCUCCUUAUGUCAUCAUGAUGAGAGCUUUGCUUUGCUUCAGUUCAAGUCCUCCUUCACUAUAGAUACUCCUUGUGUUAAAUCUCCUAUGAAAACAGCAACAUGGAAAAAUGGGACUGAUUGCUGCUCAUGGCAUGGUGUCACGUGUGACACCGUAUCUGGUCACGUCAUUGGCCUUAACCUUGGUUGUGAAGGCUUUCAAGGUAUACUCCAUCCUAAUAGUACCCUUUUCAAUAUUGUUCAUCUCCAAACACUCAACCUUUCUAACAAUGGUUUCUAUGGUUCCUAUUUUGAUUCUAAGUUUGGCAGGUUUACGAGUCUUAC
RNAcentral lists this long non-coding RNA (8346 nucleotides) under Medicago truncatula (barrel medic). RNAcentral describes it as "long non-coding RNA (MTRU_LNC003539)". The record is from RNAcentral. Lineage: Eukaryota; Viridiplantae; Streptophyta; Magnoliopsida; Fabales; Fabaceae.